This 320-nucleotide long non-coding RNA is filed under the name Homo sapiens (human). Its description in RNAcentral is "HSALNT0219505". Lineage: Eukaryota; Metazoa; Chordata; Mammalia; Primates; Hominidae. The record is from RNAcentral.
GGCUGUUAGGCCCAGACCUGGAAAAGGAUGGUGGAAAAAAAUAGGAGGGUGGAGACCUCUUAAGCACCUCUCCACAUUUCCCUCCCCCACUUUCCACAAACCCUUUCUUGCCGGCUACCUGUUCCCCCUCACCUGAGGAAGCGUUGGCACACAAGGUCCAAGCUACCACCAGCGCCCUCCUGACAACACUGGGACACUAUGAAGGAGAAGAGGCAGGACCAACCAGGGCCUGGGAGUCUCAGAUACUGGGGGUGGAAGGAGACGGGCUUGUUAGCACACCAGGUGCAGCUGGGCCUGAGUUCCCCAGGAGGCCGAAACAG